UACGUAGGGGGCAAGCGUUGUUCGGAAUUACUGGGCGUAAAGGGGGCGUAGGCGGCGCGGUAAGUCGGGUGUGAAAUCUUGGAGCUUAACUCCGAAACUGCAUUCGAUACUGCCGUGCUUGAGGACUGGAGAGGAGACUGGAAUUUACGGUGUAGCGGUGAAAUGCGUAGAUAUCGUAAGGAAGACCAGUGGCGAAGGCGGGUCUCUGGACAGUUCCUGACGCUGAGGCACGAAGGCCAGGGGAGCAAACGGG
Molecule: ribosomal RNA, 253 nt
Filed under: uncultured bacterium
Lineage: Bacteria
Description: partial 16S ribosomal RNA
Rfam family: Bacterial small subunit ribosomal RNA
Source: RNAcentral